Molecule: long non-coding RNA, 718 nt
Filed under: Ananas comosus (pineapple)
Lineage: Eukaryota; Viridiplantae; Streptophyta; Magnoliopsida; Poales; Bromeliaceae
Description: long non-coding RNA (ACOM_LNC002874)
Source: RNAcentral
UUAAGAUUCGAGCUAAUCACCGACCGUCGUUAAUGCAAAUAGCAAAGAAUUUGAUGGUUGGUAUCCGAGAUCUCAAAUUCGAAUCCUAAUUGAUUCGCAUUUUCUGCUAAGUUUAUUUCUAAAAAAUAAACGAAAUAGAUAGCAUGCUAUUUUUCUUUCAAAAAAAAAAGAAGAUUCGAACUGAUCCAUAAUAAUUUUUUGAUGGGUUAAUUUCAUACAGUUUUCUCGAAGUAUAUCGGAUAGCAAAUAUAUUUCUAUAGAGUUCAACUUUUCAUAUUUAUCUCUACAAGAGUCUAAUUAUAUUCAUAUUUGUCCUUUUAAUUUGUUAGCGUUAGAGCAUUAUUUAUUUUUUAAACAGAAAAUAAAUGAAAUGGCAUUUUUGCCAUCACAAAUACGUCAUUCCAAAUGACCCAACUAUUAAAAUUAUACAGAAAUAUUCUUUCAAAAAUUUUCAACCAUCAUCUUCUUCCUUUUUAUCAUUUCAAAUAAUAUAGUAGGAGUAUAUAAAAAGAUCAAUUUACCUGAUUCACUAAUCAGGGCUAAGCAUUUUAUCUAUGGUUAACUAUAUUUUUCUAACGGAAACUAACAGCGAGAAUAUAUUUAAAAACGUUAGAACUCUUGUAGGAAUAAAUAUUAAAAGUUGAACUUUGUAUGGAUAUAUCUACUAUUCGAUAUAUUUAUAGGGAGCUGUAUGAAAUUAUUUUUUUUUUGAUUUAUC